This 423-nucleotide ribosomal RNA is filed under the name uncultured bacterium. RNAcentral describes it as "bacterial SSU rRNA". It matches the Rfam family "Bacterial small subunit ribosomal RNA", at positions 506 to 927 of the family's 1533-position model. The record is from RNAcentral.
GGCCAGCAGCCGCGGUAAUACGGAGGGUGCAAACGUUGCUCGGAAUCAUUGGGCGUAAAGCGCGUGUAGGCGGCUCGUUAAGUCGAGUGUGAAAGCCCUGGGCUUAACCCAGGAAGUGCGCUCGAAACUGGCGAGCUCGAGUACGGGAGAGGGUAACGGAAUUCCCGGUGUAGAGGUGAAAUUCGUAGAUAUCGGGAGGAACACCAGUGGCGAAGGCGGUUACCUGGACCGAUACUGACGCUGAGACGCGAAAGCGUGGGUAGCAAACAGGAUUAGAUACCCUGGUAGUCCACGCCGUAAACGAUGAGUGCUAGGUGUCGCGGGUAUUGACCCCUGCGGUGCCGAAGUUAACGCAUUAAGCACUCCGCCUGGGGAGUACGGCCGCAAGGCUAAAACUCAAAGGAAUUGACGGGGGCCCGCACA